This 72-nucleotide transfer RNA is filed under the name bacterium. Its description in RNAcentral is "tRNA-Arg". It matches the Rfam family "tRNA". From Rfam's summary of the family: Transfer RNA (tRNA) molecules are approximately 80 nucleotides in length. The record is from RNAcentral. RNAcentral also lists the same sequence under 1 other name.
GCCCCCGUAGCUCAAUGGUCAGAGCGUACGGUUUCUACCCGUCAGAUGUGGGUUCGAUUCCUACCGGGGGCA